Molecule: long non-coding RNA, 2934 nt
Filed under: Salmo salar (Atlantic salmon)
Lineage: Eukaryota; Metazoa; Chordata; Actinopteri; Salmoniformes; Salmonidae
Description: lncRNA (ENSSSAG00000099453.1)
Source: RNAcentral
CCCAUGGGGCUGGGGAUCAGAAAUGUCCCGUGAGAGAGAGGCAAGUUUAGGUUUCCUGGUUUAGAGUAGUGCAGAAGUUAUCAUAUGCUGAGGCAGUAAAGAAAGUAGAGGAAGUCGGGUCAAGGGAUCCUGAGAGGAGUGGUUUGAGUAGUAGAUCUGCACUAGUAAAGAGGGAUAGGACAACAAGUGAUAUAUCUUUUAGUAAGAUUGGAUUACAUUUUUUUUAUAGCAAUGGUUAUCAACUGGACUGCAGGGACGGAACUUAAGUUGCAGAAAAUGGAGGUUGUGGUGGCAGCUGCAGAGAGGUAUUUGGGUGCGCGAGACUUCAGAGACGUCAGAAGAGUUACACGGUGUCUUAAGUGGUGGUGUCCCUUACUUUCAGGUUGUUGGCCUGAGGUAGGACUAAAUAGAUUUAAAUAGUGGAUUAGGGUGGUGUUAUUUCUUUGUGUGUUUUUUCAAAUAAAGUACAAGGGAGUUGUACUCCAGUCUAGUAGGUGGCGGUAAUGCAACAUUUACUGGAUGCCAACCGCCGUUAAACCUAAUCGAAUAAGAAGUAGUAGUACGCAGGGAACUUUUAUUUUGAAGAUUUUCGAAAUUCGGUGACCCAGAGGUGCUUUUUUGUUGUUGUGUCGCUUACACUUUCCUUUGGAUAAGCAAAUUGUAGCUACACCAACAACAGAACUACAACAAACAUCUUCAUACGGAGUAUAACUGCUAGUUCAAUCAAACAUAAGACGAAGACCGCAAUUUGUGUGACUGGAUUAAAGCGAAAGAAGGACGAAGAGACGGAAAAAUAUAGAUACUAGCUAGCUAACGUAAGGCUAGCAGCAAGCUGACAUGAAUUUUCUCGUUGGCUAUGGCGUGUCCUCUGAUUCUGACAGCGACGGGGAUAUUGGAAACAAGAAGACUGAGAGCAAGGUGGAUGGAGAGACCCAGAAGAAGAGCCGCAAUUUCCUCCUAGAGUCCGGGUCAGCCUCCAGCGAGUCAGACUGUGACUUCAACCCAGAGGAAGAGGGGGACCCCGUAUCUCAACUAAAACCUAAAUGCCCUCCUCCUGCCUGUAUGGCACCCCCCUCUGAGUCCCGGACCCCUCUCCUCCCCGCAUCCUCUAGUUCCCUCUCCCACAAACUCCCCCCUCCACCCCUCGGGGCCUCAUCCAAGAGUGGCGUAUUCGCCAACCCCUUUAAGGCGCAAGCCGACCAGAAGCUCAACGUCUUGCAGAAGCACGUCCCUCUCACUCUGCUGGCCCGGCCCUCCCAGAUAGGAGGCAAGAGGAUGUGCGUGGCGUACAGGAAGGACGGACGCUGCAGGUUCGGGAUCAAAUGCAAGUUUGCCCAUGACAGCGACCUCCAGAGCUCCAUCAUUCCCAAUGAGUAUGACCCCCCUGCGGGUGACGAUCCCGGAUCGGACCAAGCUGACCCCAACGCGGGGGGCUUUUCAUACAUGGGUCGCCAGAACUUUCACCACAACCAGGGAGGAGACCCUGAAGAGGAGGGUCAGCAGUCUAGGAAGAGGAGAGUAGGGCUGAGUAACACCCUAGUGCCUCCUAAAAGGUCAAUGAAGAAUUAUGCAAUGCAGAGGAAGAGAGAACAGGUCAAUUUGAACUGAGUGACUUGCACAGGGAUACUGUCAGCAGCAAUAUACUGUGUGUGUGUGUGUGUGUGUGUGUGUGUGUGUGUGUGUGUGUGUGUGUGUGUGUGUGUGUGUGUGUGUGUGUGUGCGCACCCUCACAUCGUUUUAGUGUGUGACAGAGAAAAUGGGAAUAUGUUCCAAUUUUGUACCCUUAUUCUGCACUCAUUUACUCCCCCUCAUGGAUGUAAAAGGAAUGGACUGGUGUAAAAUAGGGUUUAAACUUCUCCCUACCCAUGAUUACAUUAAUGUAAUGGAGUGAGUGCAAACUUCUGUUAGAAGAGAAGAUAAUCAGACCACAGCCAGAGAGUAUUCUAUAGGAUACCUAUAGCACACUUCCACAUUUCUGUUCAGUCCAGUACAUAUACUUCAGAUUGGUAGUUUCUACAUGAAACGUUUAUGUAGUUUCAUUGAAAACGUAUUCCUUUCUGUAAGAAACUGUCCAUUGGAAAUAUAAGCUACAAUUUGUCAUUGUUAAAUAAAUGCUUUAAAUGUUUGUAACUUGUGUUUGUGAUCACUUAAUGAUGAAUGGGCAUAGGAACUGGCGAUACGAAUAAAGUUAUGGAUCGAGUUCAGGAAAAUAUAGAAUUAUUGAUGAAAGUGGAUUUAAACUUUUGCUUUGAUUAGAGAAAGAUUGAAAGAAGAGGCAGCACAGGGUUACUUUUUUGGAUCAGUUGCAACACACUCCGGCAUCAGUCACAAUGUAAGCACACACACUUAGCUCCUGCUUUUUGGGAUGGAUCUAUUGGAGCUUCUACACACCAGUGAAUGACGCUUCUCUUUUGGAGUCCAAAGCCAAAAACUGCAAUGAAAGCUAAGAUCGAGCGGAACAGACAGCGGGCUCUGAUGCUGAGGCAAUCCCCGACUGGCUAGUAGACCAUUGGCAAGAGAGCGGGGUGGCACCUCGGCUAAAGUCGCAAAAAACAGUCGACUUUGGAGGAGGGUUCUUCAUUGAUGGAGAGGGACAGGAGGAGCAAAGGGGAGCUAAGGUGGCGCAUCAACCAGGUAUGUACAUUUUAUAACUCAUCAAACAUUGCAGGAGGCAGCGGGGUCAUAUCUGUUGCGUUAGGUCAGCGUCUAUCAGAGGUCAUCUCUAGCUGCUAUGCUGUCUUAUCUGUCGAAGAUGUCAGAUGUGUAACAGAAAAAGAUCUAUUGGUUCAUGUGUACUGAUUCAUGCCACAGCAAAUGCCAGUGACCGAGUGGAGUCAGUUUCUUUCUAUAGCCUAGCUACCUGGAACAAUGGCCAUGAUUCAAUGGUUUACGACACAGUGACAACCAGCCACUAUCUGAAUGACUGUUAAGAAG